AAGGAUUUAAGUUAUUUAAACUAUUAACCUUCAAAGUUAAAAAUAAAGAACAUCUUUAAGCCUUA
Molecule: transfer RNA, 65 nt
Filed under: Chelonarium sp. BMNH 840450
Lineage: Eukaryota; Metazoa; Arthropoda; Insecta; Coleoptera; Chelonariidae
Description: tRNA-Trp
Source: RNAcentral